UUGACCUCAAAUCAGGUAGGACUACCCGCUGAACUUAAGCAUAUCAAUAAGCGGAGGAAAAGAAACUAACAAGGAUUCCCCUAGUAACUGCGAGUGAAGUGGGAAAAGCUCAAAUUUAAAAUCUGACAGUCUUUGACUGUCUGAGUUGUAACCUAGAGAAGUGCUACCUGUGCUGGACCAUGUAUAAGUCUCCUGGAAUGGAGUGUCAGAGAGGGUGAGAAUCCCGUCCUUGACAUGGACUGCCAGUGCAUUGUGGUGUGCUCUCAAAGAGUCGAGUUGUUUGGGAAAUGCAGC
RNAcentral lists this ribosomal RNA (294 nucleotides) under Amanita ponderosa. Its description in RNAcentral is "partial 28S ribosomal RNA". It matches the Rfam family "Eukaryotic large subunit ribosomal RNA", at positions 1 to 286 of the family's 3401-position model. Lineage: Eukaryota; Fungi; Basidiomycota; Agaricomycetes; Agaricales; Amanitaceae. The record is from RNAcentral.